CAGGCAUCGAGCCAGUACUUACGAUGCAGAGAGGACUAAGACUCUGUUCCCACUCUCCAUAAGACACUACCAAAGUGUAGAGUUAGGGAAGACAGCUUCAAUGUGUUCAUUUCUUUCAUAUAUUUAACUAAGCUUUUUUUUAAGUUUUAUUUUCUAAGCACAUAAGGCAGACUUUGUUAGCUUUGAGGGGAAUCUGUGCUGGGUAGGGAGGUGGUAAGAAAAGGAUGAAAAGAGAAACAGUCUUUUCUCCAAGCAAGUUAAUGCUUGAAUAGGGGGAAUAAGACAUAGUAGGAUGUAGACACUAAGACUGGAUUCUAAUCUUCUGGGAUUCCAAGUUCUUCUGCAUGAGCUUAAUGACAAUGAGAUUGCUUGUGACUUCACUCCUCGCCUUGACCACACAGAUGGAAGGUUUUGGCUGUGUUAGGUCAAUGCAUGGGGAAAGGUGUCAGCUUCCCCACCGUGCAGUCAGUGUUGUGCAAAAGCAGAGGCAGGAUCUGAGGGCAAGACAAACUGGGGGCUCCUGCUUGAUUGUCUCACCUGCCCCUCUUUGGCAGCGGGUUGUGUCCCUGGCCUUUUAGACCUAAGCAGAGAGGGAAUUUCAAGUCAGGUGGCGCCUGUACAGUCUAUGGAAUAGGUAGUUAAUGAGGUCUGGAGUUGAUGUUGCCUUCCUCUCCUUCUCUGAUCACUUUCAUGUCACUCACCCAUCCCAGAUGCCAUGGUGUUCUCAAUGCCCCAGUUCUGGGGUUUCCUGCCCCACUCCACCUUUCCUUUCCUGAUCCUCAAGAAAACUGACUUCUUUUCCUAAGCCCCCCGUCUCCACUUUGUGAGGGGCAUUCUGAGCAUGGAGGCUAAUCAAUAUGUUCUCAGUAUCCAAUGGAAGCCUAACGUGCCACCUCUUCCAAGGGCAGUGCAUUUUAACUCAGACCCAACGCCCCAACCAAAUGAAAGAUCUCUAAUCUGGAAUUUUCAACAAUGGGGCUGGUGGGUCAGGGUGCACCAGAUCUCAGGAGGUUUAUCCAGAAGACUUUCAAGUGCCCCAAGAGGCUGAGUGGUCCGCCAAGUGCCUGCAUGUGUGCAGUCAGGAAGCUUGAGUCUGGGUUCUGCCUGGGGCAAGUCACUACAACUCCCAGAGCCUCAUUUCUGCUAUUCGUAAAAUGGAGAAGACACCUCCUAUGAUAUCAAGUCACUGACUUGUUCCCAGGUGCUAAAAAAUGAAAUUACAUUGCUUAGCCUUGAAACUGUGCAACCUUUCAACUGCUGAUGAAAACAACCUCAGCAAGAUGAAAAUUUCUCCAUUUUCCUGAAACUAUUCUGCAUCAUAAAAUUCAUUGCAGUCCUUUCUGCACCUGGAUAUCCUCAGCAUUAACAAUAACACCAUCAACUCACUCAUUGGACUUCAUGAAUGUGUGGUGGAGCCUCCUGAGGAUUUAACUUUCAAUACCAUGACUUAUUGAUGAGACUUGUAAUCAACAAUAAAAUUGGAAGGCC
Molecule: long non-coding RNA, 1488 nt
Filed under: Homo sapiens (human)
Lineage: Eukaryota; Metazoa; Chordata; Mammalia; Primates; Hominidae
Description: HSALNT0298629
Source: RNAcentral